GACGAACCGUGCGAACGUUGUUCGGAAUCACUGGGCUUAAAGGGCGCGUAGGCGGGCUCACAAGUCAGGGGUGAAAUCCCACGGCUCAACCGUGGAAGUGCCUUUGAUACUGUGGGUCUUGAGGGAGGUAGGGGCGUGCGGAACUUCCGGUGGAGCGGCGAAAUGCGUAGAUAUCGGAAGGAACACCGGUGGCGAAAGCGGCGCGCUGGACCUCUACUGACGCUGAGGCGCGAAAGCCAAGGGAGCAAACGGG
RNAcentral lists this ribosomal RNA (253 nucleotides) under uncultured bacterium. RNAcentral describes it as "partial 16S ribosomal RNA". It matches the Rfam family "Bacterial small subunit ribosomal RNA", at positions 524 to 776 of the family's 1533-position model. The record is from RNAcentral.